This 351-nucleotide unclassified non-coding RNA is filed under the name soil metagenome. Its description in RNAcentral is "partial contains 5.8S ribosomal RNA, internal transcribed spacer 2, and large subunit ribosomal RNA". The stretch from base 1 to 120 matches the Rfam family "5.8S ribosomal RNA", at positions 35 to 154 of the family's 154-position model. The record is from RNAcentral.
GAUGAAGAACGUAGCGAAAUGCGAUAAGUAAUGUGAAUUGCAGAAUUCAGUGAAUCAUCGAAUCUUUGAACGCACAUUGCGCCCGCCAGUAUUCUGGCGGGCAUGCCUGUUCGAGCGUCAUUUCAACCCUCAGGCCCCCAGUGCCUGGUGUUGGGGAUCGGCCCAGCCUUCCUGUAAGGCCGCCGGCCCCGAAAUCUAGUGGCGGUCUCGCUGUAGUCCUCCUCUGCGUAGUAGCGCAACCUCGCAGUUGGAACGCGGCGGUGGCCAUGCCGUUAAACACCCCACUUCUGAAAGUUGACCUCGGAUCAGGUAGGAAUACCCGCUGAACUUAAGCAUAUAAUAAGCGGAGGA